AUUAAACGCUGGCGGCAUGCCUUACACAUGCAAGUCGAACGGCAGCACGGGAGCGAUCCUGGUGGCGAGUGGCGAACGGGUGAGUAAAGCAUCGGAACGUGCCCUGGAAUGGGGGAUAACGUAGCGAAAGUUACGCUAAUACCGCAUAUUCUGUGAGCAGGAAAGCAGGGGAUCUUCGAACCUUGCGUUUCAGGAGCGGCCGAUGUCGGAUUAGCUAGUUGGUGGGGUAAAGGCCUACCAAGGCGACGAUCCGUAGCGGGUCUGAGAGGAUGAUCCGCCACACUGGAACUGAGACACGGUCCAAACUCCUACGGGAGGCAGCAGUGGGGAAUAUUGGGCAAUGGACGAAAGUCUGACCCAGCAACGCCGCGUGAAGGAAGAAGGUUUUCGGAUCGUAAACUUCUAUCCUUGGUGAAGAUAAUGACGGUAGCCAAAGAAGGAACGCCCCGGCUAACUACGUG
This 461-nucleotide ribosomal RNA is filed under the name uncultured bacterium. Its description in RNAcentral is "bacterial SSU rRNA". It matches the Rfam family "Bacterial small subunit ribosomal RNA", at positions 30 to 507 of the family's 1533-position model. The record is from RNAcentral.